This 301-nucleotide ribosomal RNA is filed under the name uncultured bacterium. Its description in RNAcentral is "partial 16S ribosomal RNA". It matches the Rfam family "Bacterial small subunit ribosomal RNA", at positions 509 to 807 of the family's 1533-position model. The record is from RNAcentral.
CAGUCGCCACGGGAAUACGGAGGGUGCAAGCGUUAAUCGGAAUUACUGGGCGUAAAGCGCACGCAGGCGGUUUGUUAAGUCAGAUGUGAAAUCCCCGGGCUCAACCUGGGAACUGCAUUUGAAACUGGCAAGCUAGAGUCUCGUAGAGGGGGGUAGAAUUCCAGGUGUAGCGGUGAAAUGCGUAGAGAUCUGGAGGAAUACCGGUGGCGAAGGCGGCCCCCUGGACGAAGACUGACGCUCAGGUGCGAAAGCGUGGGGAGCAAACAGGAUUAGAUACCCCUGUAGUCCCUGUCUCUUAUAC